AGUGAACGCUGGCGGUAGGCCUAACACAUGCAAGUCGAACGGCAGCACAGUAAGAGCUUGCUCUUACGGGUGGCGAGUGGCGGACGAGUGAGGAAUACAUCGGAAUCUACUUUUUCGUGGGGGAUAACGUAGGGAAACUUACGCUAAUACCGCAUACGACCUACGGGUGAAAGCAGGGGAUCUUCGGACCUUGCGCGAUUGAAUGAGCCGAUGUCGGAUUAGCUAGUUGGCGGGGUAAAGGCCCACCAAGGCGACGAUCCGUAGCUGGUCUGAGAGGAUGAUCAGCCACGCUGGAACUGAGACACGGUCCAGACUCCUACGGGAGGCAGCAGUGGGGAAUAUUGGACAAUGGGCGCAAGCCUGAUCCAGCCAUACCGCGUGGGUGAAGAAGGCCUUCGGGUUGUAAAGCCCUUUUGUUGGGAAAGAAAAGCAGCAGGUUAAUACCCCGCUGUUCUGACGGUACCCAAAGAAUAAGCACCGGCUAACUUCGUG
Molecule: ribosomal RNA, 492 nt
Filed under: uncultured bacterium
Lineage: Bacteria
Description: partial 16S ribosomal RNA
Rfam family: Bacterial small subunit ribosomal RNA
Source: RNAcentral